Molecule: ribosomal RNA, 459 nt
Filed under: uncultured bacterium
Lineage: Bacteria
Description: partial 16S ribosomal RNA
Rfam family: Bacterial small subunit ribosomal RNA
Source: RNAcentral
CCUACGGGGGGCAGCAGUGAGGAAUAUUGGUCAAUGGACGAGAGUCUGAACCAGCCAAGUAGCGUGAAGGAUGACUGCCCUAUGGGUUGUAAACUUCUUUUAUAAAGGAAUAAAACGAGGCACGUGUGCCUUUUUGCAUGUACUUUAUGAAUAAGGAUCGGCUAACUCCGUGCCAGCAGCCGCGGUAAUACGGAGGAUCCGAGCGUUAUCCGGAUUUAUUGGGUUUAAAGGGAGCGUAGAUGGGUUGUUAAGUCAGUUGUAAAAGUUUGCGGCUCAACCGUAAAAUUGCAAUUUAUACUGGCAGUCUUGGGUACAGUUGAGGUAGGCGGAAUUCGUGGUGUAGCGGUGAAAUGCUUAGAUAUCACGAAGAACACCGAUUGCGAAGGCAGCUUACUAAACUGUGACUGACAUUGAUGCUCGAAAGUGUGGGUAUCAAACAGGAUUAGAUACCCAGUAGUC